Molecule: long non-coding RNA, 1959 nt
Filed under: Cricetulus griseus (Chinese hamster)
Lineage: Eukaryota; Metazoa; Chordata; Mammalia; Rodentia; Cricetidae
Description: lncRNA (ENSCGRG00015039709.1)
Source: RNAcentral
UCAAACACAAAUUCCUUAUAAGUUUUUAGAGACUGAAAAUUAUUUUUCUCAUCUUAUUCAUCUUACUCUCUCUUUUUAUUCAGUUUUAAUUUCUUUUUGGUGUGUGUCUGUGUGCCUGUGAUGUGUAUGUUGGGCCUGUAUGCAUACAUAGCAAAUGUGUAAAGAAGGUCAAAGGAAAACUUCAUGGAGUCACUUUUCUUCUAUCUUUAUGUGGGUUUGGGGGAUCAAACUUGGGUGGUUGGACUUGUAUUGCAGUGUUUUUACCUGCUAACUGGCCUUAUAGCUCUCUCUCUCUCUCUCUCUCUCUCUCUCUCUCUCUCUCUCUCUGUGUGUGUGUGUGUGUGUGUGUGUGUGUGUGUGUGUGUUGAUUUUUUUAAAGACAGGAUAUCACAUAGCUCAGGCUAGCCUUGAGCUCACUAUAUAGCUGAAGAUGACCUUGAACUCCUGAUCCUGCUCCCUCUACUUCCUAAGCACCGGGACUCUGGGCUUGUGCCACCAUGCCCAGUUUAUAUAGUGCAGGGGAUGGAACCCAGUUUUGUGUAUGCUAGAUAAGCUAUCUACCAGCUCAGACACACCCCUAGCCUUUAAUGUGGUUGUUUGUUAUUAAUUUUUAAAAAAGAAAAAGCAAAACUAUUUUUUGAGACAGAGUACUGUGUUUGAUAACUCAACUCCACAUAGCUGAGGACUUUUCACUCACUUUUAAUUUUGCCUCCACCUUAAGAAUGUUGUGAUUAGAAAUUUGUGCCAUCACCCUGGUUGGUGUAGGACUGGGAAUCAAACCAGGGACUCCUGCCUGCUGGGUGAGUACUCCACCAACUGAGCAGCAUCCCUGAUACCCUCAGAAUAUAAACACGCACAGAGCUGCGGCACCAGAUGAAGCCCCUCCUUUGUAGUGAGCCCAUCAGUCUCUGACAGGAGCUUGUCACUCAUCAGUACCAUCCUCCCAAAAGACUGACAGCUGGGAAGCCUAUAUGAAACUGAACUAGGCCCUCUGAAUACUAAGAAGUCAAUGUGACCAGCUGCUUCAUGCUCCUGCCACCAUGCCUUCCCCAGCAUGAUGAACUAUACCCUCAAACUGUGAGCCAGAGCCAACCAUUUCUUCCUCAUGUUGCUGUCAUCAGAUAAUGUUGUCACAGCAAGGAGACAAGUAACUGGCACAAACCUCUAGACUCCCUUGUUGAGAUCUUGUUUUCUCAGGUGGUGGCACCAUUUUGGAAGAUUCUGGAAACUUUAUAAGAUGCUUACCUGCCUAUCUGGGGACAUGUGUCAUGGCACCCAUGGAGAUCACAGGAUAGCAUGUUGGAGUCAGUUCUCUUCUCCCAUCUUCACUGGGCUUUCAAGACAUCAUCAUCUGCUGUUCUCUUGCCAUUUUGUGUAUUUUCAACACAGUCAAGGAUCAUUGCUUGCUAAUCUUCACUGGUUGAAAUGUUUCUCAAAUGAAAUUAGCUCUUUGAUUUGAUUUAGUACUUUCUUUUACAUUGUAUUUUGCUUAUUAUUAUAAACAGACUUUCAAAUAAUUCAUACUGUGAAGUAUCCUAUUCAUUUCUGUACUUUAAGAAUGGUGUGGGACAUGCUUGUUUUGAAAUUUCUUACAGAUGGUACAUAGUUGCAUGUCUAUCUUCAACCUAGUUUUAAUUUUUAUUAUUUUAUGUGUAUGGGUCUUUUGCCAACAUGCAAGUCUGUGUAUCAUGUUUGUGUCUGGUUCUCAUGGAGGCAAAAAAAAAAAAAAAAAAGCAUUGGGACCAUUGGUAGUGGAGUUAAGGUUGUGAGCCACCACAUGGGUGCUGGAAAUCAAACCCAGGUCCUCUUCAAGAGCAGCCAGUGCUCUUAACCGAUGAGCCAUUUCUUCAGCCCCUUCAACUCAGUUUUUUGUAAUAACAAUUAAUGUAAGAGACUAUGAAUUUGAAAGAGAGCAAGAAGUGGUAUAUGGGAAAUGAUGUAAUUAUAAUCUCAAAAAUA